Molecule: long non-coding RNA, 1520 nt
Organism: Brassica napus (rape)
Lineage: Eukaryota; Viridiplantae; Streptophyta; Magnoliopsida; Brassicales; Brassicaceae
Exons: 3
Source: RefSeq, a predicted model, not a curated record
GAUUUUUUCUUCCUCUCAAGAUCGACGCUCUAGACAGUAUUCACUGUAAAUUUGGGUUUGAUUUUCGCAGUUGCAGACUUUUGUGGUGUUUUCAAUCUGAACCAGAGCUGUUCUUCAAAGUUUAAAGGAGUUCGCGGUGAAAAUUGAAGUUUGUGAAAAGAUGGUGAUCGAGGAAGGAGUGCUCGAAUUGGUACAAGAUGUUUGAAGCUCAAAGUCACGAUGAAGAUGAAGGGGAUGUGGCUAAGAGACCCCAAUAGGAUUGUACCAAUAUAGGAUAGAAAAUUAAAGGUUUCCAAUUACGUCAAUUAAGUUAAGUUAAUUGAUAUAAUAUUGGUUAAGAGACCCCAAUGGGGUUGUACCAAUAAACAUGCCCUAACAUAAACUAAAUACCAUCAACCAAACCAGGGACCUGUUUAGGAUUUGGUUGAAACUUUACUUUGUUGAACCAACGAUAGAGAACAAAAUGCAACCUUGUUGAAAAUUUAAUCUGAGUUAUGGUCUAUCAGCCUGACUAGGCGACUAGCGACUAUCCAUAAACCAAGAUUAUCAGAACAUGUAUAAAUAUAAUGGAGAUUAUAAUGUGUAGUACAUCUUUAUCUUUAUAUAUAAAAGAGACUUUCAAUCACUCCGGGUGCUGCCAACAGGGACGACACGUCAGAAAUUCGUUGCACGAGAGGACGACACGUGUCCGGCCAAUGACACACCGUUUCAUUUAUUUAUUUCUCGAAAUCUGAUGGGCCUGGCUUCUUAUUUUGUCUGAGCUUUAGCUUUAUUGAGCCCAUACCACUAUAAGCUUAAUAUGAUGUGUACGAAACGCGGCGUUUCUUAUUUUGUCGUUUCAUCGAUCUCCUUUCUCCGCCGACCGCCUUAGGAGAUUAUAGGGUUUCCAUCAAUUCAUUCGUCUCCUUUCUACUGAUCCAGAAAUCGAUCAGUUACGGAUUCAUUACUAUCAACCUCUGGCCUUCAUUGUCUUCUCAUCUACCCUUGCUCGCAAAUCUCCCAUUCGAAACGGUUUCUCUGUUAUUUAACACCAUCCUUCCAUCAUGGAUCCCCACUACGUAUUCAUCACACAACUCCUCUGUUAAUCCCAAUUUCUAAUACUAUAAAUAGGGAUGCAGAGCACACCCUAAUCUCAUCGUUAUUUACCAUCUCCUGCUUUCAAAAUUGAAGCCUGGUCAUUUUUAGAGAGGCAAUUUUACCCGGUUAGUUUGGUUUUGGGAGGCAGGGAGUGUGAAAAAGGAGAGGAGCUCAUGUGGCCUAACAUGUCGCUGCUUGAUGAAAAGACUACUGAAACAGAUGAUCUAGAAAGGAGAUUGGCUUGCUAGACUAAUCGGAGAAACAUGACCGUAUUUGUUGGUGACCCAUAUGCAAUAAAUGAAACAGCUACCUUUUCUGAGAAAUCAUGAUAAUGUAUACUGAUGUAACAAAUGAGUUAAAACUGGAUACACUUUGUUUUUGUAUCAUCUUCAACCUUGCAAGUAAAUUUCGUACACUGGUCUAAAUCAAAAGCCUCGAGGUUC